Molecule: ribosomal RNA, 1140 nt
Filed under: Halorubrum sp. B10-MWDX
Lineage: Archaea; Methanobacteriati; Methanobacteriota; Halobacteria; Halobacteriales; Haloferacaceae
Description: bacterial SSU rRNA
Rfam family: Archaeal small subunit ribosomal RNA
Source: RNAcentral
ACCGGAGACGAAUUUGAGACAGAUCGACCUACGGGGGCCAGCAGGCGCGUCUAAUGCAGCCAGUGCGAUAGGGAUCCAGUGGCAGCAUAGAGCUGCGCUUUGUCACGUAGGAGGUGGACGAUAAGGGCUGGGCAGACCGGUGCCAGCGCGCGUAUACGGCAGCCCGAGUGAUGGCCGAUCUAUGGGCUAAAGCGUCCGUAGCUGGCCGCACAAGUCCAUCGGAAAAUCCACCCGCCCAACGGGUGGGCGUCCGGUGGAAACUGUGUGGCUUGGGACCGGAAGGCGCGACGGGUACGUCCGGGGUAGGAGUGAAAUCCCGUAAUCCUGGACGGACCGCCGAUGGCGAAAGCACGUCGCGAGGACGGAUCCGACAGUGAGGGACGAAAGCCAGGGUCUCGAACCGGAUUAGAUACCCGGGUAGUCCUGGCCGUAAACAAUGUCUGUUAGGUGUGGCUCCCACUACGAGUGGGUGCUGUGCCGUAGGGAAGCCGCUAAACAGACCGCCUGGGAAGUACGUCCGCAAGGAUGAAACUUAAAGGAAUUGGCGGGGGAGCACUACAACCGGAGGAGCCUGCGGUUUAAUUGGACUCAACGCCGGACAUCUCACCAGCAUCGACUGUAAUAAUGACGAUCAGGUUGACGACCUUAUCCGAGUUUCAGAGAGGAGGUGCAUGGCCGCCGUCAGCUCGUACCGUGAGGCGUCCUGUUAAGUCAGGCAACGAGCGAGACCCGCAUCCUUACUUGCCAGCAGCACUGCGAAGUGGCUGGGGACAGUAGGGAGACCGCCGUGGCCAACACGGAGGAAGGAACGGGCAACGGUAGGUCAGUAUGCCCCGAAUGUGCUGGGCAACACGCGGGCUACAAUGGUCGAGACAAAGGGUUCCAACUCCGAAAGGAGACGGUAAUCUCAGAAACUCGAUCGUAGUUCGGAUUGUGGGCUGCAACUCGCCCACAUGAAGCUGGAUUCGGUAGUAAUCGCGUGUCAUAAGCGCGCGGUGAAUACGUCCCUGCUCCUUGCACACACCGCCCGUCAAAGCACCCGAGUGAGGUCCGGAUGAGGCACGUUCUACGUGUCGAAUCUGGGCUUCGCAAGGGGGCUUAAGUCGUAACAAGGUAGCCGUAGGGGAAUCUGCGGCUUGG